AGGAUGAACGCUAGCGGCAGGCCUAAUACAUGCAAGUCGAACGAGAUCCAGGAGCUUGCUCUUGGUGAAAGUGGCGCACGGGUGCGUAACGCGUAUGCAACCUACCUUAAUCGAGGGGGAUAGCCUCUCGAAAGAGAGUAUUAACACCGCAAUAAAAUCAACAAGCUGGCAUCAGCAAAUGAUCAAAUUAUUUAUAGGAUACAAGAUGGCAUGCGUGAACUAUUAGCUAGUUGGUAACGGUACGGUCUUAACCAGGCUACGAUGUCGUAGGGAUCUGAGAGGACUCCGACCCCCA
Molecule: ribosomal RNA, 295 nt
Filed under: uncultured soil bacterium
Lineage: Bacteria
Description: partial 16S ribosomal RNA
Rfam family: Bacterial small subunit ribosomal RNA
Source: RNAcentral